GGAUGUGAGCACAAUUUAGCUGUGACAUCUAUCACCUCAUUGAUUGCCAGGGUUAAUUUGGCUAAUCUCCCUGGUUAGGUGGUGUGCCUUCCCUUCUCACCACUCCAUGUGUAUCCUUCCCAAAGCUUUGUGCUUGGUCAAAGAGCACAACCUCCAACAGAAGACUGUCUUUUAAUCAAGGAUACUUGAAUAAAUGCACUCCUUUGCUAGGAUCUCCAAACAAGCUCUCAAAAAACAGCAGGAAGCCCCCACCCUCCACACCCUUGUGGGAGCCAACCUGAACCCUCCCACAG
RNAcentral lists this small nuclear RNA (293 nucleotides) under Chinchilla lanigera (long-tailed chinchilla). RNAcentral describes it as "7SK RNA (ENSCLAG00000021855.1)". It matches the Rfam family "7SK RNA". Rfam says of the family: 7SK was discovered as an abundant small nuclear RNA in the mid-70s but a possible function has only recently been suggested. Two independent studies have found that 7SK RNA binds the CDK9/cyclin T complex (known as elongation factor P-TEFb). The record is from Rfam by way of RNAcentral. Lineage: Eukaryota; Metazoa; Chordata; Mammalia; Rodentia; Chinchillidae.